AUUGAACGCUGGCGGCAUGCUUUACACAUGCAAGUCGAACGGUAACAGCACUUCGGUGGCUGACGAGUGGCGAACGGGUGAGUAAUGUAUCGGAACGUGCCCAGUAGUGGGGGGAUAACUACUCGAAAGAGUGGCUAAUACCGCAUGAGAUCUCUGGAUGAAAGCGGGGGACCGUAAGGCCUCGCGCUACUGGAGCGGCCGAUAUCAGAUUAGGUUGUUGGUGGGGUAAAGGCCUACCAAGCCUGCGAUCUGUAGCUGGUCUGAGAGGACGACCAGCCACACUGGGACUGAGACACGGCCCAGACUCCUACGGGAGGCAGCAGUGGGGAAUUUUGGACAAUGGACGCAAGUCUGAUCCAGCAAUGCCGCGUGCAGGACGAAGGCCUUCGGGUUGUAAACUGCUUUUGUACGGAACGAAAAGCCUUCUUCUAAUACAGGAGGGUCAUGACGGUACCGUAAGAAUAAGCACCGGCUAACUACGUG
This 483-nucleotide ribosomal RNA is filed under the name uncultured bacterium. RNAcentral's name for it is "bacterial SSU rRNA". It matches the Rfam family "Bacterial small subunit ribosomal RNA", at positions 30 to 507 of the family's 1533-position model. The record is from RNAcentral.